AAACAACAAUAAUACCGAGCACAAGUGAGGCGCACCAUUACUUGGAAAAUAGAGGGAUGACGCAAUGGAGCUGAGGAGGGAGAGAGCGGGCGAGCGAAGGAGCCUUCGUCACUAGAAUUCCAGUAUAGGGAGCAUAUGCACCCGGAGUUCACCGAGGGCAUUUCCAUGAGUGCCUCAUAUAGGGAGGCAGGGGCGAGGGAAGGGGCAGGGCUUCUAUAUCUCAACACGGAUAAUCACUCCCAGCUGUGUCCACUGUAGCGCCGCACACACAUGUAGGGAGGGGCCAGGGUUCGCCUUUCACAGCAGCACCGAGACCUCAACAAGCCUCCAGCGCAGCAACAAGAGCGCUGUGUCGAACUACACUGGGCCUCGGGACGAGCAAGUCUAUAUUGCAUCUGGGUAGUUGACUAAAAACAACCUUUUGUAUUCAACAUCAAGACUCGUCAAGGAUAUUGUGUAUAUUUCAGGCGUUCUGGUCAUUCUCCCGCUUUUUAACUAACUUUGAACGUGUACACAAAAAUACAAGGAAAGGGGCGGGUCUUGUUUUUAGUUCAUUGCCUUGCAGCUGCCAUCAGAGACUAGAAGCUGUUUAAGAGGCAGAGCAAGCUGCUGAUUGGAUAGCGAAGUGUCCAUUACAUACCAGAUAUUUCUCACCUCCCCUCUCUCUUUCUCCUGGGCUUGUAAAGGAGAGGAUAUCCUCUGGCCUUAUCUAAUAGUCUGCGGAUUGUGCAACGGCUGCCCCGUCCCAGAAAGGCAGCAGUCCGCUUUGUGAAAGUGCACGUAGCAUGGAGCACAAGGGUCAAGGUUUACCAGCAAAAACAAACCAUGGAAAGAAAAAAAGUUGGUCAUGUUUUCCUGCAUCGGAGAUGAGAGGGAGACAGAAAUAAGGAAGAAAUAGAGGUGGUGACAGGGAAAAGGUGGAAGUGUGUGAUAGCCUCAGGCUACGUCUGACAGUAUUUAACAGGCAGUGAAGGGAGUCAGUGGUCUUUAAAGGGACAGCUCACUCUAAAAAAAUGUAUUCACCCUCAUGUCAUUUCAAACCCGUAUGACUGUCCUUCUUCCAUGCAAGCAAAUCUACAAUAUUUUUCCUGCCUCUUUUUUUCCAUUCUAAUGUAGCGCUCAAAUGUCACUCUUCAAAACACAAUAUAUUUAGAUUUGAAAGAUUACAUUUAUAAAAUAUUUAGUAAAUACCAACAUGAACUUAGGCUUCAUAAAACAAAAGUGCCGUCAAACAAUUAAUCAUGAUUA
This is a long non-coding RNA of Puntigrus tetrazona (Sumatra barb), 1248 nucleotides long. RefSeq lists it as uncharacterized. NCBI's taxonomy places the organism in Eukaryota, Metazoa, Chordata, Actinopteri, Cypriniformes, Cyprinidae. The record is from RefSeq and is a predicted model, not a curated record. The transcript is spliced from 3 exons.